Molecule: ribosomal RNA, 460 nt
Filed under: uncultured bacterium
Lineage: Bacteria
Description: partial 16S ribosomal RNA
Rfam family: Bacterial small subunit ribosomal RNA
Source: RNAcentral
CCUACGGGUGGCAGCAGUGAGGAAUAUUGGUCAAUGGACGAGAGUCUGAACCAGCCAAGUAGCGUGAAGGAUGACUGCCCUAUGGGUUGUAAACUUCUUUUAUAUGGGAAUAAAAUGUUCCACGUGUGGGAUUUUGUAUGUACCAUAUGAAUAAGGAUCGGCUAACUCCGUGCCAGCAGCCGCGGUAAUACGGAGGAUCCGAGCGUUAUCCGGAUUUAUUGGGUUUAAAGGGAGCGUAGGUGGAUUGUUAAGUCAGUUGUGAAAGUUUGCGGCUCAACCGUAAAAUUGCAGUUGAUACUGGCAGUCUUGAGUACAGUAGAGGUGGGCGGAAUUCGUGGUGUAGCGGUGAAAUGCUUAGAUAUCACGAAGAACUCCGAUUGCGAAGGCAGUUCACUGGACUGCAACUGACGCUGAGGCUCGAAAGUGUGGGUAUCAAACAGGAUUAGAUACCCUUGUAGUC